RNAcentral lists this ribosomal RNA (464 nucleotides) under uncultured bacterium. Its description in RNAcentral is "partial 16S ribosomal RNA". It matches the Rfam family "Bacterial small subunit ribosomal RNA", at positions 339 to 795 of the family's 1533-position model. The record is from RNAcentral.
CUACGGGAGGCAGCAGUGGGGAAUAUUGCACAAUGGGCGCAAGCCUGAUGCAGCCAUGCCGCGUGUAUGAAGAAGGCCUUCGGGUUGUAAAGUACUUUCAGCGGGGAGGAAGGGAGUAAAGUUAAUACCUUUGCUCAUUGACGUUACCCGCAGAAGAAGCACCGGCUAACUCCGUGCCAGCAGCCGCGGUAAUACGGAGGGUGCAAGCGUUAAUCGGAAUUACUGGGCGUAAAGCGCACGCAGGCGGUUUGUUAAGUCAGAUGUGAAAUCCCCGGGCUCAACCUGGGAACUGCAUCUGAUACUGGCAAGCUUGAGUCUCGUAGAGGGGGGUAGAAUUCCAGGUGUAGCGGUGAGAUGCGUAGAGAUCUGGAGGAAUACCGGUGGCGAAGGCGGCCCCCUGGACGAAGACUGACGCUCAGGUGCGAAAGCGUGGGGAGCAAACAGGAUUAGAUACCCCCGUAGUA